This 2754-nucleotide long non-coding RNA is filed under the name Chinchilla lanigera (long-tailed chinchilla). Its description in RNAcentral is "lncRNA (ENSCLAG00000024821.1)". The record is from RNAcentral. Lineage: Eukaryota; Metazoa; Chordata; Mammalia; Rodentia; Chinchillidae.
CGUCUGUCCACGCGGCACUGCCUGAAAGCCCUCGCCCCAACACAGCCUCCUCCGGCUGGGGCCCAGGCGUUCACAGCAGCAGCGGGUGCAGGGGCUCCCGAUAUGGCCAGAAGAGGCGCGGCUGGGUACAGAGCUGUCCUGUCUGCCAUUCAUCCACAAAGACAGGGACCCUGGGCUGCCGAGGCAGACAGGGCGGUCACCGAGCCCCUGCAGGCCCCAGGCGCCCCUGAAGCUUCCUGGGAGUGGCUGAGAGCCCAGAAUCCACUCAGGACGCCCUGGGUUCAGCAGCCCCUCCUGCAGCGCAGGAACGGGCUCAGGGAGGACACACAGCUGGCCCAGGUGCCCAGGCUCUGCGCCACCCACGGGGCCUGCCACACCCACAAGUGGGGACCUGAGCUGCUCCUGGCGAGAGGAAGGCGGGGCAAGCCGGCAUUGAAAAUCAAGUCAGACAGCAGCAAAGAACAAAGCAAAGCCUCCCUUCAUGGAGGCCCAAACACACUGGGCCAGCACCCCCAGAGUCACGGAUGUCUUCCUUAUGUGCCACUGUCCCCCAGGUUCCGGGCUCAGUAGAUGGUGGCCCUUAUUUGGGGCGGUCACUGUCCUGGGGCCAUAUUUCUGGCCAAAGAAGGAUGUGAGCUGUUUUAAGCUCAGGUUGUGGCAAGCCCUGCUUCAGCCGCAGAGCGAACCCAGAGCCAGGCCCCACACAGACCACCAAGAGAAGCCCGACGGGAAGGCACGCAGAACCACAGGAGCUCCCGGGCGAUGCCACUCCCUGGUCAGGCAAGAGCGGCUGUCACCUCUGCUGUGGGGCUUCCUUCAACAGGAGGCAAGGAGGUUCCCUGGCGAGGUGCCACGCACGAUGAAGAUGAAGAGCCCUGGUCACCCAGAGGUGCAGGGGGCGGAGAGACCCUGUGUGGCACACACAGAAACACAGUGACAAGCUGUACCAUCGCCCGCCUGUCAUGGCCCUCAGUGUCCUUGUUGAGCCGGGCUAAACAUGCCUCACCCAUAAACGUAGAUUCCCCCUGAACAUCCAGUAUGACGGGCACCGUUUCACCGGCACUGGGCAAAUGGGAAGCUCUGGAAGGCCGACAGCCUGGCCGGGACCUGCAUGGGUCAAUUUUGGGCACAGAUCCACAAGUAGACCAAUCCCUGGGCUGCUCUCCCAGGGCCCGCAGCGCAGUGCGGCAGCCCUUCCUACACCGUGGCUCGUGGGGCCCAGAGUGCGGUGGGGGAGGACUGCAGAAAUCAGAGACAGGGGACUGGAAGAGGUGCUGGGAGGCGGGCCCUCGAAGGAGAUCCUCAAGCCAGCUGGGGGUGCCUGGCUUCCUGUUUGAUGCCAUGAUCAUUCCCUCUGCCACAUGUGCCUGUCAUCGCCAUGAGGUCAUCAGAACAGAGCCAGCAAGACACCCGUGAUGCUCCAGAACCGGGAAUAAAUAAAGCUCUCUUUGCUCUAGGUAUCCGACAUUUUAUGAUGUAACAAAAAUGCAUGCACCUCCCCGAAGGGCGGCUCCACCACUUACCAUGUCUGCCCCCUGCUCAAUCCUGAGAGAGGCUCCUCCCUUCCAGGCAGGAUUCGGCACCGGUGUCUACAGCAAGGAGUCCCUUCCUCACCCUCACGGAUGGGGCUCUGGAGCCCACACAGAAAAACCACCCAUCAGUAGCAAGGUGCCCACAUGCGCAGGACCACAUGUGGGGUGCCUGGGAUCACAGGUCUCCUGGACCCUUCCCAAACGGCUCCCGACAGGUGAGGCUCCCCAUCUCACAAGGAGGACACAGCCUCUAGGACGGGCCCUCCCUUGGCCAGCAGAGUUUUGGCAUGAACCCAGGUUGGUGGCUCCAGAAGCUGGGUCUUCUCAUGGCCGCCUCUCCAUGCCAGCGUGGGAGUUUUUCUGGAAUAAAGGAGGCUGCAGACUUCACUCCUCCCAUCAUGGCUGAACUCUCAGCUCACCACAAGCAGGGCUGUGUUCUUUAUCCUUCUUGCAUCUACCCCUGACCUGGAAGUGAGCAGGUCCUCAGUAACAACUGUGAAAUCCUCAGCUGGUGAGCCCAGUGCCGAGCCCCAAGGGAGACAAGCUCCUUACCAAAAGGCGGUUCCCUGUGCAGAAACUUCCUAUCACCCAGAGGCAGUGCUCCUCCAGCCGGGUGAGGGCCUGAGGCUGCAAACGCACACUGGCCAGAUCUUACGUAAAAAGAGGACCCUGGGCCCUUAGCAGCCAGCCCGGGAAGCCACCAUUAUGCCCAGCAAUGGGCCCAGGAAGCCACCAUUGUCCACGUCAAUGGGCUCAGGAAGCUGCCAUUGCCCAAGAAGCCAGCCUGUCAUGAGUCAAGCCUGUGGAAGUCAGACCACUAUGUCUUUUAAACAGUCCAGACUCUAACCUCUAUAACUUUGGCCAGGACUUGAUUACUAGCUGACAGCUUCUCUAAUUUUUAUGCUGAUUUCCAACUUAGGACAACCAGAGAAAAUUUAAUUAUUCAUCUCUAACCAAUCACAUAGGAUGUAAGCUCCUAUCGUAGUCAGCCACGUCCAGCUUGGUGAUACCCACAGCCUCCAGCCAAGGCAUGCAGGAAAUCACCCCUUCCUCCACCACAGUGUUCUUCUACCCCUGUUCCUGCCUUGCGGUCUCAGCCGAGCACGAGUCAUGGUGGCCGACUCCCUUGCAUCUCAGAGUAAAUAGCCUUUGCUUGUUCUCUGUGCCCUUUAUUCUCAUGCAGGGCACUAUCCGAGGUUCCUUCUGGACUCAAGGGCCAAUC